This 73-nucleotide transfer RNA is filed under the name Capra hircus (goat). It matches the Rfam family "tRNA". From Rfam's summary of the family: Transfer RNA (tRNA) molecules are approximately 80 nucleotides in length. Their secondary structure includes four short double-helical elements and three loops (D, anti-codon, and T loops). Further hydrogen bonds mediate the characteristic L-shaped molecular structure. tRNAs have two regions of fundamental functional importance: the anti-codon, which is responsible for specific mRNA codon recognition, and the 3' end, to which the tRNAs corresponding amino acid is attached (by aminoacyl-tRNA synthetases). tRNAs cope with the degeneracy of the genetic code in two manners: having more than one tRNA (with a specific anti-codon) for a particular amino acid; and 'wobble' base-pairing, i.e. permitting non-standard base-pairing at the 3rd anti-codon position. Lineage: Eukaryota; Metazoa; Chordata; Mammalia; Artiodactyla; Bovidae. RNAcentral also lists the same sequence under 1 other name. The record is from Rfam by way of RNAcentral.
UCCCUGGUGGUCCGGGGGCUAGGACUCCACACUCUCAAUGCAGAGGGCCUGGGUUCAAACCUCAGUCAGUGAA